UGAAACUAUUUUUAAAAUUUUUAUUUUAAAAUUUUUAAUAUUUAUUUUUUAUUUUAUAAAAUUUUAAACCUCAAUCCCAAAUUUCCACUCCUUAAAUCUAAACCCUAAGAUUUGGAUUAGUUAACUCUAUGAGUGUAAAUGUAUAUUUACCUCUUCAAUAAAAUAUUUUGGUCAUUUUCUUUCUUGUGGUCUAUUUUUGUGAACAAAAUUUUUUUAUUGCUAUUUUAGAGUGUUUCUCAAGUAAAUUUCAGUAACCACAAAAUUUCAUUUCCAAGAUAAUGUUUACGUUAAUGGGUUAAUUUAUCAAAUGUUAACAAUAUGUGUAGUAUACGAAAAUAUAACAUUUGAAAUUGAAACGUAAAUUUGGAGCAAUUAGAUGAAAAUGAUCAUAGGACACUUGUGCCAAUAAUUCUUGUCAUUGUUCCAACAGUAAAACCCAUCAUCUUUUGCAACAACGAAACGCACCGCAGAAUCAGUGUCCGAAUCGUACAAACGGUACAUCCUCAAAGAGGGCACGAAUUGUGCUUCACCCCAAAACGUUCCUUCGCAAGACGUCCGCUGCGACACUCUAGGUCUCGCCGGUUUAUCGUUUUUUUCAGCGGUGGGUGGGAUAUCAUCAGUCGCAUUUUUUCCGCUAGUGGUUGGGAUCUUUAUCAACGAGACUUGACCCAAAGGUAUGGGUUUAGACAUCCUAGGAAUUGAGCCCUGGCACGUCACGAAGACGGGAACAUUAGCACGUCUCUGCAUCUGGUUGGAUACGAUAAGAGUGGCGGCACGUGCGGAUCCAGAGCUAACAAAGAGCACUAGGGUCAUGAUCGAUACCAUUAUAAGAGUGUCCAUGAGUUUUUAUUAUGUGGAAAAGAUGUGUUAUAGAAUGUAAAUAUAUAUCUUCUUUGGAAGUUUAUGUGUCUCUAUUUAUAUUAUCUGGCUUCAGUUUCUCAAAUUUUGAGCAUUAACAACAAUCACUACGUACGUUUAAGAAUUGAAAGGUGAUUAAUAAGUGAUUACGGUUACCAUUAGAAUUAAGAGACUCUAACAUUUAUUAGAGACAAUCUCGGUUUGGUACCUGUUCUGUGAUUGUUGCAAUUAGAGAGAGAUAAAAAAGAUUUCAGUGAUGUCAUCAUUAGUUUAUUUUUAUUUUUUGGAAAGAUGUGCUGCGACAUUUGGUGUGUAAUAUGUAUAAUGACAAAUCAAACCCAUUUUUUUAUUAUCAAAUACAAAUCAAACCUUUAUUCUUAAUAAGAAUGACCGACUGCAUAGUGUUAAGUGUGAAUAAAACGGUGUUUCACACAGCAUGUUCAAUAUAUACGAUUAAUCAACAGAAAAGCGAAGAGUAUUAUAGAGAAUAUGAUACUCUGUGACUUGACUGAAGGAAAAGGGGACUAUGGUGAGUGGUGAGGCAUGUCACGUCACCGUUGUCUAAUCCAUUUUCAGUUAACCAAAGGACCGUAAACAAAUAUUGGCCUUUUAUUAUGAAAUAUGGACCGUUUCACAUAUCUUCAGAAACCACCAUUGGCCCCUAUUGUUUUCUAUCGCCUCCCAAUUCACUCGGAGUUACUCUCCCCUUUCACCUCCUCCCUAAUAUAGGCGUCCCACUUUCAUGAUUCAUAAAGCUCCAUCAUUUCAUGAUUCAGUGGAGAGUAUGAGUGCUUGCAAGAUAUUUGAUCAAAAUGGUGCAUGGCUACGGAGAAGUAAGGGUUUUUGGUGUCGAGACAUUGAUCUAAAAAUUAUGUGAACCGAAAAGGGUACUUUCCACUUUCAAAACUGUAUUUGUUGUGUGUUACUUCGAAAUUUAGGAGAAACAAAGUCGUUAUUUCUCGAUCAUUUCUACGCUGGCUGGAAAGGAGUCUUCUCAGAUUUCAAGGAAGAGAAAAAGUCUAUUAGAUAGUGAAGGUAUAUGUGUGU
Molecule: long non-coding RNA, 1905 nt
Organism: Brassica rapa (field mustard)
Lineage: Eukaryota; Viridiplantae; Streptophyta; Magnoliopsida; Brassicales; Brassicaceae
Source: RefSeq, a predicted model, not a curated record